AGAUAGUCAGAUCAUAGUAAUAGUAAUGUGUCUCGUACUCUUGUCUCUACCUCUGGCAUUGUAAUUAUUAAAGGCAACUCUUUCUGCUGCAAAGUUGCAAAUAUUUUUUUUUUUUUUUUUUUUUUUUUUUUUUCAAAGUUGCAAAUAUUAUUCACAUGCAUUUCCUUGACGUUUUGGAAAAUUUUUCAAAAAAUAUUUUCCCAAGUGGAAUGAAGCAGAAAAGAAAGAAAAACAGACUUAGCUCAUGAUGAGAUAAGUAGACUCAUGAAUAACAAAUAUAUAAGCUGAUCAAUGAAUGCAUAAAUCUUUGUAUCCUACGUUGUGACUUUUGUUUUGCUUUUAUAUAAUUUUUCUUCUUCUCUUUUUUUUUUGUUGCUACGACUUGAGUUCCUUUCUUGGACAAACCACGUACGUACGUGCAUGUAUCUCUUAAUCAAUUAAUACGGAAAUACUAGUAAUACGGACAUAUGUUUUCAAAUAUAUUUUUGGGAAUUAUAUAAAAAAAUAAAAAAAUCAUUACAGCCUAUACAUAAUAAAUUCAUCCACAAAUGAUCUAAAAUCUUAUCUUUAAACUCAAAUCUGGAUGCAUAUGUUGGCUACAUUCCUCCUUAUUUCUAUUAAUUAGGCUGGUGCCCAAAAUCUC
Molecule: long non-coding RNA, 643 nt
Filed under: Capsella rubella
Lineage: Eukaryota; Viridiplantae; Streptophyta; Magnoliopsida; Brassicales; Brassicaceae
Description: long non-coding RNA (CRUB_LNC001345)
Source: RNAcentral